Non-coding RNA from Styela clava, 3217 nucleotides. NCBI's taxonomy places the organism in Eukaryota, Metazoa, Chordata, Ascidiacea, Stolidobranchia, Styelidae. The record is from RefSeq and is a predicted model, not a curated record.
GUUGUGAGUUGUUGGAUCAGGCGUUUAAAAAUAUUAACAGUGAUUUCGCAAAAAAAAAUGCACACGAACUCGCUAUCAUGCUGACCAACUGGGUAACGUUAAACGAAAUAUAAAACCGGAUGACGACAUCUCGCUGAAUCGUCAUAAUUCUCAAGGGUAUGAAAUCCGAAACAUCAUCUUCAUACGCACAGAAUUUCUUCCAUACGUACAACAGACAUUUUUACUAACCAAAAAUCUGAAGUGUUUUUUUAAUGAGUUAUGAUUAUCAUGGUAUACUGUUACAAACGACGCAAAGCUAUCAUUCAUGUUUAUUAGUUAUAUUGAAGGAUAUUGUUACCUGAUAAAAAGUGCAAUAAUGAUUACAUAGAACACUCGAAAAAUAUAUUUUAUUUCGGUAUAUUCGAUACCAUUAGGCAUCUACAUCUAUCUGUCCCGUACAAUCGUUGUAUAUUAUUUUAGGUAUGGCUUUAAAAUGUCGUAUUUUAUGUUAUUAGUUUGACUUUUCAGGGCAGUGUUAUAGAAAUAUUCAUACAAAAAUCGCACGUGAAUAUCCAUUGCACUGCGGGGCCUACAAAUCGAAUUGUAUAUUUAAAUGAAGCAUUAACCAAAAUUGGAAGUUACCGAUAACAUAACUGUAAUCGAGGUACUACAAUUAGAGAUCAUGACGUCAUACAGCGCACCGCUGCGACAACUUCGCCUUGAGACAGACUUUUAUCAGAAACGGACAAGCAUGGAUUAUAACUUGUGAACGAUUUUUGCGCACAGGGUAUCUACGCCAUAUACAAGAUCGUGAGUACGAACGAAGAGGCUGCCCCAUGUUCUAUCACAUAUUCCAGAACUGCGAAAGACAUUUGCGAACUCGAGGCGUCGACAACACUGCGAACGACAGGCUCGAACAGAUGAUGAGUGUGACUCAGGGGCGAAGUUCUUAUAAUAAAUUAACUAAUAUAGAAAUAAGAGAAAAAGGGGCUGCAGUUGUUGCAAUUCGAUAUGGUCGGUAUAUAAGAGUGAUAGAAAUGCUGAGAAACCAUCUCAUUUGGGAUCUGUACAUUCAUAUCAAUGCAAUGUAUGAAUAGAUCAGAUAUUUGCUUUGAUUGGAGAGGCCAAUUGAAGGCAUCAAUCAAAGACAAUGCCUGUAUUUACAGCCGACUAGUACUAGAUACUUUCGUAGGACAGUUAGUACAGAGAUAAAUCUGUUAUAUAUUUUUAGAGUUUAAUACAUCGGAACUUGUAUGAAGGUUCAAUCAAUAUAUGGCAUACUGCACAAGACAAAACCGAGAACACUAUUAAAAAAAAAAGAUUUUGCUUUGUAUUGAAGUACACUAGUUUAUCUCGUAACCAUAAAAUAGAUGCCCUGUAUUACCACACUUAAUGAUUAUAGUUUCCAGUCUCGAAGAUAGCAAUAAUGCGCAAUGUCAUAACUCAGUCUGUUAUCAAUAAAGCGACAUUUUCGAUGACUAUUUUACAGAUUGUGUUUUGUUCUUAUCUAUUCCCUCUUAAUGGAAACAGUAAUGGAAAAACCAGUCGGACAAAGUCAAUCACGGCAAUCGUAAACCGGCUGAUGUGGGAGCUUUCAAGUGACACACAACAAACUCGAUUGCAGAUUUUUGACAAUCUGGGAGCAUAGCUAUCAUCGACUGUUGGUCGAGCACAGAAAAUAGUUUUCAACAAGCGAUAUAAGUAUAGAAAGUAAUGCCGUGGUGGCUAACGUACUUCGUUACAUCUUACAUGGUAUCUUUGGAAGUUUCAAAAACGACCGAUACGAAUAAACUCUCAUGGAAUGUAAAGAAGUAUGUCUGCUACCACGGAAUAAACAGCCAAAAACAUUCGAGCAUUUGAUUGUUAAUCCAAACUAGGUAAUACUGAUAUUACAGUUAGAAUACACAUAUUAAUGGCGUCAUUUCAAUAUACUGUACCAAUUUUGUUCGGGUUUAUAGCUCUUUCAAAGGAGAUUCCGGAUUUAAUAAUUAGAGUAGUUCAAAAUAGUUAAAAUUGCAAAUAUCUUCAAAGUGGUAGGAUUCUGAUCUCACUUUUGUUCUUACCUACUUUAACAUAACACUUCCUGCACUCUCACUUAUUGUAAUAAUUACUAACUAUUAUAACUCACUGCUACUAGCACUAAUUACACUAACUGCAUGAUGCCUGACGAAAGCUGGUCAACCGGUACCAAAGCGAAACAAUAACCCUUGUGUUUUGGUCCCCUUCAACCAGCUGUUGCCUUGCACCGCUUUCUGCUCUCUCCAACUAAUCUUGCUAAGCCUCUUCUUUACCUAUAGCUGCUUGAUUAACAGAACAUGUCCAAUGUUUAUACUAUUUGUUCUUAUUUAUCAUGCUCUGCUUCCAAAUUAAUAAUUAAUAGCACUUUGCUCUUCUUCAAAGAAAAAUUCAAAGAUUAAAUACCAGAGCCGACAUCGCCAACGGUUGAUGCACUAUUUCUUGUAACACAAUUAUUACUAGUCAAAUUCAAAUAAUAUUAUGAAAAUAAUUUUUUUAUUCUUCUUCUCUUUCUAAGUUUUUUGAUAUUAUUUAAACGUUAUUGCGAAAUUUAUAUCUUGUUUUAAUAUUUUUACCAGUUUCUUGAAUGUUUUAGACUGAAGUUAUUAUUGAUUUUUCUCACGAGAAGUAUGUAUGUUGUGUAUCUAUUAUGACCUCGCAUUAUGGCAUUUUUGCUCUAAAUCCAAUUGAUUUAGAGCAUGAAUUGAUAAUUCAAUUGAAAAUGCAGGUACAUAAAAUUCCUACAUUAUAGUAAGCUGAACAUAGUUUGCGCUUAAAUUUGAAAAUAAUUAUUAUAAAGUUAUUAAUUCGAUGCGCCGCAUUUCUAAUAGAUUGAUGAGUUUACUAAAUCUGUUUGUUGAAAGUAUUUCCUUUUUUAUUUAAUUUGGGCAAUGCAGCAUUUUCAUUUUGAACAUUUCGAACUCCGUUGUAUGUAUUUAUACAUUCUGAUCUUAGGAGCGUACAUCCCCUACUUACGCAAUUAAAUAGUAUCAAGCUCUUUUAUAUUUUAAUGAGCGCUAUUCUUGAAGGCCAAAAAUAUUUGUUUAAAUGCCUUGAAUACUAUAUGUUCCUACUUCCUACCAUCAAAAGAUGCAUAUAUAAUUAAUCGUGAAGCGAUAUCUCUCCAGUUCAUUUACAAUUUGUCAUUUUCCUUUUUGAUUUACAUUACAGUACUAUUUAUAUCUUUUUUAACCACAUCACAAUAAAACGAAUGCAAAUAGAA